AAGAGCCUGGAAGCCAAUCACACUAAGAAGUGGUGCUUAGUUUUGUGUGGUUGUUGUUUUCCUGAGUGCUUUU
This is a microRNA precursor of Bos grunniens (domestic yak), 73 nucleotides long. The record is from Ensembl. NCBI's taxonomy places the organism in Eukaryota, Metazoa, Chordata, Mammalia, Artiodactyla, Bovidae.